CCGAGUUCAGCAAACUCACUCUCUGUGGAAUCUCUACCCUCUCUGAGGGGUUGGCCUCUGGAUGACUCUCUGUCUCUCUGCUCUCUGGUGAUCUCUGUAGACGCUCCGAAUGAUGUGUCUGCUUGCUCGUAAGUGUCUUCUGUUCCUUCAGGUCACCUAUCCCUCUUGUGCAGUGACCUCGUAUGACCUGUACUCCUCAUGACUCCUUCAAUCAACUCCUCUGCUGUCUCUCUAAUGGCUGGAUCCUCACAGAAGCACCUGUCUCAAGGGCUGGGUGUCAAAUGCUGCUGGUGGUGACCUGCUGAGUAAUACUCAACAUCCUGCCUGGUGAGUGGACGUAUGGGUUCCACUGCCGCAGCCACAUGUGGACAGAACAUGGACAGAAAAAUUAUAACUAUUAUGAAGUGCUAUACCCCUCUGCCAUCCACUGGAGCUGCCAUGUCUCCGACUGCCUUGAUCUUGUUGGGAUCUGCUUUCAGUCCCUCUGCUGUGACCAAAGUACAUCAUCUCACAUUGUUUGAGUUGCAUUUUUUCUGGGCUGAGUUUUAUGUUCUCUUCUGUAUCACUAAGAUUAAGAUUUUGUCAGGGUUACGUUUAGUAAAAGUUACAGACAGGUCGCGGGCAAUAAAGAAAAAUUCAUGGAA
Molecule: long non-coding RNA, 644 nt
Organism: Trachemys scripta elegans
Lineage: Eukaryota; Metazoa; Chordata; Testudines; Emydidae
Exons: 2
Source: RefSeq, a predicted model, not a curated record